RNAcentral lists this ribosomal RNA (464 nucleotides) under uncultured bacterium. RNAcentral's name for it is "partial 16S ribosomal RNA". It matches the Rfam family "Bacterial small subunit ribosomal RNA", at positions 29 to 507 of the family's 1533-position model. The record is from RNAcentral.
ACGAACGCUGGCGGCGUGCUUAACACAUGCAAGUCGAACGGAAAGGCCCCUUUGGGGGUACUCGAGUGGCGAACGGGUGAGUAACACGUGAGUAACCUGCCCUUGACUUCGGGAUAACUUCAGGAAACUGGGGCUAAUACCGGAUAGGAAUCCUUGCUGCAUGGUGGGGGUUGGAAAGCUUCGGCGGUUUUGGAUGGACUCGCGGCUUAUCAGCUUGUUUGUGGGGUAGUGGCUUACCAAGGCUUUGACGGGUAGCCGGCCUGAGAGGGCGACCGGCCACAUUGGGACUGAGAUACGGCCCAGACUCCUACGGGAGGCAGCAGUGGGGAAUAUUGCACAAUGGGCGGAAGCCUGAUGCAGCAACGCCGCGUGCGGGAUGACGGCCUUCGGGUUGUAAACCGCUUUCAGCAGGGGCGAAGCUUGUGGUGACGGUACCUGCAGAAGAAGCACCGGCUAACUACGUG